Molecule: ribosomal RNA, 735 nt
Filed under: Sarcocystis arvalis
Lineage: Eukaryota; Apicomplexa; Conoidasida; Eucoccidiorida; Sarcocystidae
Description: partial large subunit ribosomal RNA
Rfam family: Eukaryotic large subunit ribosomal RNA
Source: RNAcentral
GCAUAGGGAGAAGUUUCUUGGAAAAGAACAUCAGAGAGGGUGAGAGUCCCGUAUUUGCCCUGUGUCAUUUAGUUCCACGUACGGUACGCUUUUAUAGAGUCGCGUUCAUCGGGAUUUGAGCGCAAAAUGUGUGGUAAGUUUCACAUAAAGCUAAAUAAUGGCGCGAGACCGAUAGCAAACAAGUACCGUGAGGGAAAGAUGAAAAGUUCUUUGGAAAGAGAGUUAAAAGUGCCUGAAAUUGCUGAAAAGGAAGCGAUUGGAACCUUAUAGAAUCCAAUACGUGAAUCUCUCAUGACAUUGAGCCCCAGGUUAUUUAACCCUGUAAAAAGGGAAAUUAAUUUGGGUAAGGCAAUAGAUGAAAGGGGCGAGGAUCGUAUUGGAGAGGUCAGCAUCAGUUGGGACGAAAAGACUCCAGGUGUAGAAGGUAGGUCCCCCGUGGGCUGUUUUACUAGAUACAUCAUAAGAACUUUUCUUUUUAACUGAAGUGUACUAUAAUAGAGCAUGGAAUAUUCGGGCUACACUCGAUUUUUGUAAAAAGAUCGAGUACUCGAGUUCUGUGAUGCUGACUAAAAUGGUUUCAACCGACCCGUCUUGAAACACGGACCAAGGAGUCUAACAUAUGUGCAAGUAUGCGGGUGGCAAACCUGUAUGCGAAAUGAAAGUAAGAGUAGGGAAAAGGGUAAUAUCGUCAAAAAAUAUUAUGCUUUGCACCUACGACCGACCAUGAUCUCAGAG